GAUGAACGCUGGCGGCGUGCCUAAUACAUGCAAGUCGAGCGAACAGACGAGGAGCUUGCUCCUCUGACGUUAGCGGCGGACGGGUGAGUAACACGUGGAUAACCUACCUAUAAGACUGGGAUAACUUCGGGAAACCGGAGCUAAUACCGGAUAAUAUAUUGAACCGCAUGGUUCAAUAGUGAAAGACGGUUUUGCUGUCACUUAUAGAUGGAUCCGCGCCGCAUUAGCUAGUUGGUAAGGUAACGGCUUACCAAGGCGACGAUGCGUAGCCGACCUGAGAGGGUGAUCGGCCACACUGAAACUGAGACACGGCCCAGACUCCUACGGGAGGCAGCAGUAGGAAAUCUUCCGCAAUGGGCGAAAGCCUGACGGAGCAACGCCGCGGGAGGAAUGAAGGCCUUCGAAUCGUAAAACUCUGUUAUUGGGGAAGAACAAAGGUGUAAGUAACUAUGCACGUCUUGCCGGUACCUAAUCAGAAGGCCACGCCUAACUACUU
RNAcentral lists this ribosomal RNA (496 nucleotides) under uncultured bacterium. RNAcentral's name for it is "partial 16S ribosomal RNA". It matches the Rfam family "Bacterial small subunit ribosomal RNA", at positions 28 to 506 of the family's 1533-position model. The record is from RNAcentral.